Molecule: ribosomal RNA, 253 nt
Filed under: uncultured bacterium
Lineage: Bacteria
Description: partial 16S ribosomal RNA
Rfam family: Bacterial small subunit ribosomal RNA
Source: RNAcentral
UACGUAGGGUGCGAGCGUUAAUCGGAAUUACUGGGCGUAAAGCGUGCGCAGGCGGCCUCUUAAGUCAGAUGUGAAAUCCCCGGGCUUAACCUGGGAACUGCGUUUGAAACUGGGAGGCUAGAGUGUGGAAGAGGGGGGUGGAAUUCCAGGUGUAGCAGUGAAAUGCGUAGAGAUCUGGAGGAACACCGAUGGCGAAGGCAGCCGCCUGGGCCACAACUGACGCUGAGGUACGAAAGCGUGGGGAGCAAACAGG